Molecule: long non-coding RNA, 637 nt
Filed under: Microcebus murinus (gray mouse lemur)
Lineage: Eukaryota; Metazoa; Chordata; Mammalia; Primates; Cheirogaleidae
Description: lncRNA (ENSMICG00000048824.1)
Source: RNAcentral
CGCCGCCCGUCCCUCCGCAGCCGACGGCAGCCUGCAGCGGCCGCGGGGACUGGACUCCUGCGCUCUGGUCGCCAGGCGCGUCGCGGGGCGCUGGAGGGGGAACAGGGCUGCGCUGGUGUCCCCACCAGCCCACAUACGGACUUGCUGCUGCUUCCCACACCAGCUGCGUCCUCUUUUCUGAGGCGCCUGGAGAACUAUUGGCAGUCAUGGGUACCUCAUUUUCCUGAGAGGACUUGGAGUCCUGUGAAGGAUUUGGAAUUUGACGCCUCAGAUGUGCCCAAGCACAGCUUUGCGGGUUUACUCCAGGUGGCUGCUGAGCUCCACUCUGGCCCUGUGGAAGGUAUUUGGCACCCAGCGGGACACCAGACUCAAUACCCUGCAGCUGCUCACAGACAUCCUGGAAAAGACCCGCUCCCGAGAGGACGCAGUGGAGAUGGACGCCCAGCCCAUGGUGGUGAGCGCUCCCUGGCCGGAUGGGAGUCAUCCAGACCUUGCCCCAGAGUCCCUCCUCGGCCGCCAGCGGCAGUUCCAGCAAGCCAUCUCUGAUUUCCCGGCACGUGCUGUUCUCACCGUGGAGCCAGGCUUUGAUGCUGCUGUGGAAUGCAGAGGAAGAAGACGCUGGGCUCCCAGACCCUGA